Molecule: ribosomal RNA, 396 nt
Filed under: uncultured bacterium
Lineage: Bacteria
Description: partial 16S ribosomal RNA
Rfam family: Bacterial small subunit ribosomal RNA
Source: RNAcentral
AUACGUAGGGAGCGAGCGUUGUCCGGAAUUACUGGGUGUAAAGGGAGCGUAGGCGGGAGUGCAAGUCAGAUGUGAAAUCUCCGGGCUCAACCCGGAAAUUGCAUUUGAAACUGCAGGUCUUGAGUAUCGGAGAGGCAAGCGGAAUUCCUAGUGUAGCGGUGAAAUGCGUAGAUAUUAGGAGGAACACCAGUGGCGAAGGCGGCUUGCUGGACGACAACUGACGCUGAGGCGCGAAAGCGUGGGGAGCAAACAGGAUUAGAUACCCUGGUAGUCCACGCCCUAAACGAUGAAUACUAGGUGUGGGGGGACUGACCCCUUCCGUGCCGGAGUAAACACAAUAAGUAUUCCACCUGGGGAGUACGACCGCAAGGUUGAAACUUAAAGGAAUUGACGGGG